Centrocercus urophasianus (Greater sage-grouse) is the source of this 1107-nucleotide long non-coding RNA. RefSeq lists it as uncharacterized. The transcript has 5 exons. Lineage: Eukaryota; Metazoa; Chordata; Aves; Galliformes; Phasianidae. The record is from RefSeq and is a predicted model, not a curated record.
CUCUCCGCCGCUGUGGGCCGAGGCACGGCUUUCUUUUCUCCCCGCCGCAUUCCGUAGCCCUUGGUUUCGAGCGGCGGCCACAUUUCAGACCUUGCUGCCAAGUGGAGAAAGUGCAGCGAUUGGCCGCACGUCCCCUCUCGCGCACCGUGUGGAAGCCCUCUCGCAGAGCCCCCAGCUCUGACCAGAGGCCCCAGUAUGUCACUGGGCUGCCGGCCAUUUGGGCGAGAGAGAAGAGACGUGGUCUGAGAUGAUGAUGCCCCUCUGUGCGAUGGUUGAUUCCCUCACUGGGAGCCCCUCAGUCCUGCACUGAUCCGUACGCUGCAGCUCUGAGGAAGAAUCAGAAAAGCACCAUACUGAGCAGCAUGGAGUUCCAGGGUCAGAGGUUGAAGUAAAAAUGAUGAGCACAGGGAAAGCUUUCACUACUUUCUAUCUUCGUGACACUGAAAGAGGCCUAUUCUUCACUUCCUGAAGGGAAGAAAGUGAUCUGCCACAGGAAAAUCAAGUUAGCAAGGUAUUCUACACAGAGCUGCUGUUUUCCACAUGAAACCUGGACAUGAUACUGUGUUCAAGAUCACACACUACAAAUUUCCUACAAAGAAGCCUCAAUCUACAUGUCCAGCAAAGGCAUUCAAAGGCACAAGGACUCCAAAAGAGGGUUACAGCGGUCUUUGGUGGAUAUUCCUGGAAGGUCUUCAGUGUUUUGUCAGCUCAUUGGAGUUCAGGUUUUUCUCUUAGCAGUUACAUGGUCCUCCUCACCGUCUUCAAGAUAAUUCUGUCAGCACAAGCUCCUCUGUUUGAACAAUUAUUCUGGAUCUAUUUCUUCUUUUUUUUUUUUUUAGUUUAUAUAACCAUGCAAACUGCACAUAAGGAGCUGCCAUUUUUUCUUUCAUGCAUUUUGCAGAGACCAUAUGAAAUUCGAAGCUAGUUCCACUGGUUGUGUAAGAGUCAGCUAAGCUGGCUUCCGUGUAUUGGCCUAACAUACGUAAAGGGGAAGAGCCCUCACUCGGUGUCAGUGCAGCUAUACAAAAAACCUGGGCCAAACCUUGUGCUUGGACAUUGUGAGAAUGGGAAUAUGAGAAAAGCACUGGUGUUAUUUCUAACGUAAAA